Molecule: long non-coding RNA, 315 nt
Filed under: Capsicum annuum
Lineage: Eukaryota; Viridiplantae; Streptophyta; Magnoliopsida; Solanales; Solanaceae
Description: long non-coding RNA (CANN_LNC020761)
Source: RNAcentral
UUUUGUAUUUAGUAGUAAUAUUAUUUCAUAAAUUGAGACCACAAGACUAUUCAAUUUUGUCUGGGGCCCACAUAUGUGCCCAUUUUUUCCUUUUCAGAUUGACCUACGGUGGAAAUUGGGUAGUGUGCAGUGGACACACAAGUCACAACGGACAUUGAUGUGACUUUUAAAUUUUAGCCUAAAUAGGUCUUAUCGAACAACGAGAUAAGAGGAAAAGAAGUAAACCUCAGGAGGAGCCUUAGGUUGGAUAUAGUAGGUACGAGGAGGUGAAGAUGUAGGCCAAAAAAUGAGGAGAGAUUAUUGGACGUGACCUUA